GGCGGCGUGCCUAAUACAUGCAAGUCGAGCGCGAGAUUGAGGAGCUUGCUCCUCAUGAUCGAGCGGCGGACGGGUGAGUAACACGUAGGCAACCUACCCUUGAGAUUGGGAUAACUACCGGAAACGGUAGCUAAUACCGGAUACGACUUUCCUGCAUAAGCAGUUAAGUUAAAAGGCGGAUUUAUCUGCCGCUCAUGGAUGGGCCUGCGGUGCAUUAGCUAGUUGGUGAGAUAGUGGCUCACCAAGGCGACGAUGCAUAGCCGACCUGAGAGGGUGAUCGGCCACACUGGGACUGAGACACGGCCCAGACUCCUACGGGAGGCAGCAGUAGGGAAUCUUCCGCAAUGGACGCAAGUCUGACGGAGCAACGCCGCGUGAGUGAUGAAGGGUUUCGGCUCGUAAAACUCUGUUGUUAAGGAAGAACACUUGAGGUAGUAACUGGCCUUGAGAUGACGGUACUUAACCAGAAAGCCACGGCUAACUACGUG
Molecule: ribosomal RNA, 488 nt
Filed under: uncultured Jeotgalicoccus sp.
Lineage: Bacteria; Bacillati; Bacillota; Bacilli; Caryophanales; Staphylococcaceae
Description: bacterial SSU rRNA
Rfam family: Bacterial small subunit ribosomal RNA
Source: RNAcentral